UACGUAGGUGGCGAGCGUUGUCCGGAUUUACUGGGCGUAAAGAGCGCGCAGGCGGUCGUACAAGUCGCGUGUGAAAGCCCCCGGCUCAACUGGGGAGGGACACGCGAUACUGUUCGACUCGAAGGCAGGAGAGGGAAGUGGAAUUCCCGGUGUAGUGGUGAAAUGCGUAGAUAUCGGGAGGAACACCAGUGGCGAAGGCGACUUCCUGGCCUGUUCUUGACGCUGAGGCGCGAAAGCUAGGGUAGCAAACGGG
RNAcentral lists this ribosomal RNA (253 nucleotides) under uncultured bacterium. RNAcentral's name for it is "partial 16S ribosomal RNA". It matches the Rfam family "Bacterial small subunit ribosomal RNA", at positions 524 to 776 of the family's 1533-position model. The record is from RNAcentral.